This 296-nucleotide ribosomal RNA is filed under the name Escherichia coli. RNAcentral's name for it is "partial 16S ribosomal RNA". It matches the Rfam family "Bacterial small subunit ribosomal RNA", at positions 1 to 291 of the family's 1533-position model. Lineage: Bacteria; Pseudomonadati; Pseudomonadota; Gammaproteobacteria; Enterobacterales; Enterobacteriaceae. The record is from RNAcentral.
UUAAAUUGAAGAGUUUGAUCAUGGCUCAGAUUGAACGCUGGCGGCAGGCCUAACACAUGCAAGUCGAACGGUAACAGGAAACAGCUUGCUGUUUCGCUGACGAGUGGCGGACGGGUGAGUAAUGUCUGGGAAACUGCCUGAUGGAGGGGGAUAACUACUGGAAACGGUAGCUAAUACCGCAUAACGUCGCAAGACCAAAGAGGGGGACCUUCGGGCCUCUUGCCAUCGGAUGUGCCCAGAUGGGAUUAGCUUGUUGGUGGGGUAACGGCUCACCAAGGCGACGAUCCCUAGCUUGU